RNAcentral lists this ribosomal RNA (580 nucleotides) under Arsenophonus endosymbiont of Aphis glycines. RNAcentral describes it as "partial 23S ribosomal RNA". Lineage: Bacteria; Pseudomonadati; Pseudomonadota; Gammaproteobacteria; Enterobacterales; Morganellaceae. The record is from RNAcentral.
UUUGAUGAAUUCAUAGUCAAACGAGGCGAACCGGGGGAACUGAAACAUCUCAGUACCCCGAGGAAAAGAAAUCAACCGAGAUUCCCCCAGUAGCGGCGAGCGAACGGGGAGCAGCCCAGAGUCAACAUCAAUAUUUACCGCAGGAGAAGGGUCUGGAAAGGCCAGCAAUAAAGGGUGAUAGCCCCGUAUCUGAAACGGUAAGUAUUGUGAACUCGAAGAGUAGGGCGGGACACGUGUUAUCCUGUCUGAAUAUGGGGGGACCAUCCUCCAAGGCUAAAUACUCCUGACUGACCGAUAGUGAACCAGUACCGUGAGGGAAAGGCGAAAAGAACCCCGGCGAGGGGAGUGAAAUAGAACCUGAAACCGUGUACGUACAAGCAGUGGGAGCACCCGAAAGGGUGUGACUGCGUACCUUUUGUAUAAUGGGUCAGCGACUUAUAUUCUGUAGCAAGGUUAACCGCAUAGGGGAGCCGUAGGGAAACCGAGUCUUAACUGGGCGUUAAGKUGCGGGGUAUAGACCCGAAACCCGGUGAUCUAGCCAUGGGCAGGUUGAAGGUUGGGUAACACUAACUGGAGGACC